RNAcentral lists this ribosomal RNA (901 nucleotides) under uncultured Bacteroidota bacterium. RNAcentral's name for it is "bacterial SSU rRNA". It matches the Rfam family "Bacterial small subunit ribosomal RNA", at positions 434 to 1340 of the family's 1533-position model. Lineage: Bacteria; Pseudomonadati; Bacteroidota. The record is from RNAcentral.
UUUGUACGAGAAGAAUCUCUUGACGUGUCAGGGGUUGACGGUAUCGUACGAAUAAGCAUCGGCUAACUCCGUGCCAGCAGCCGCGGUAAUACGGAGGAUGCAAGCGUUAUCCGGAUGCAUUGGGUUUAAAGGGUGCGUAGGCGGGAUAUUAAGUCAGUGGUGAAAUCCUGCAGCUUAACUGUAGAACUGCCAUUGAUACUGAUAUUCUUGAGUAUAGUUGAAGUGGGCGGAAUGUGUAAUGUAGCGGUGAAAUGCUUAGAUAUUACACAGAACACCGAUUGCGUAGGCAGCUCGCUAAACUAAUACUGACGCUGAGGCACGAAAGCGUGGGGAGCGAACAGGAUUAGAUACCCUGGUAGUCCACGCUGUAAACUAUGAUCACUCGUUGUUGGCGAUACACAGUCAGCGACUGAGCGAAAGCAUUAAGUGAUCCACCUGGGGAGUACGGCCGCAAGGUUGAAACUCAAAGGAAUUGACGGGGGCCCGCACAAGCGGAGGAACAUGUGGUUUAAUUCGAUGAUACGCGAGGAACCUUACCUGGGCUUAAAUGCAGAACGACGUCCGCCGAAAGGCAGAUUCCCUUCGGGGCGGACUGCAAGGUGCUGCAUGGUUGUCGUCAGCUCGUGCCGUGAGGUGUCGGGUUAAGUCCCAUAACGAGCGCAACCCUUAUUGUUAGUUGCCAGCGGGUAAUGCCGGGGACUCUAACGAAACUGCCGGUGUAAACCGAGAGGAAGGUGGGGAUGACGUCAAAUCAGCACGGCCCUUACGUCCAGGGCUACACACGUGUUACAAUGGCCGGUACAAAGGGCAGCUACCUGGUAACAGGAUGCUAAUCUCGAAAGCCGGUCUCAGUUCGGAUUGAAGUCUGCAACUCGACCUCAUGAAGUUGGAUUCGCUAGUA